This 726-nucleotide ribosomal RNA is filed under the name Bacillus sp. (in: firmicutes). Its description in RNAcentral is "bacterial SSU rRNA". It matches the Rfam family "Bacterial small subunit ribosomal RNA", at positions 56 to 763 of the family's 1533-position model. Lineage: Bacteria; Bacillati; Bacillota; Bacilli; Caryophanales; Bacillaceae. The record is from RNAcentral.
UGCAGUCGAGCGAUGGAUUAAGAGCUUGCUCUUAUGAAGUUAGCGGCGGACGGGUGAGUAACACGUGGGUAACCUACCCAUAAGACUGGGAUAACUCCGGGAAACCGGGGCUAAUACCGGAUAAUAUUUUGAACUGCAUAGUUCGAAAUUGAAAGGCGGCUUCGGCUGUCACUUAUGGAUGGACCCGCGUCGCAUUAGCUAGUUGGUGAGGUAACGGCUCACCAAGGCGACGAUGCGUAGCCGACCUGAGAGGGUGAUCGGCCACACUGGGACUGAGACACGGCCCAGACUCCUACGGGAGGCAGCAGUAGGGAAUCUUCCGCAAUGGACGAAAGUCUGACGGAGCAACGCCGCGUGAGUGAUGAAGGCUUUCGGGUCGUAAAACUCUGUUGUUAGGGAAGAACAAGUGCUAGUUGAAUAAGCUGGCACCUUGACGGUACCUAACCAGAAAGCCACGGCUAACUACGUGCCAGCAGCCGCGGUAAUACGUAGGUGGCAAGCGUUAUCCGGAAUUAUUGGGCGUAAAGCGCGCGCAGGUGGUUUCUUAAGUCUGAUGUGAAAGCCCACGGCUCAACCGUGGAGGGUCAUUGGAAACUGGGAGACUUGAGUGCAGAAGAGGAAAGUGGAAUUCCAUGUGUAGCGGUGAAAUGCGUAGAGAUAUGGAGGAACACCAGUGGCGAAAGGCGACUUUCUGGUCUGUAACUGACACUGAGGCGCGAAAGCGUG